GACGAACGCUGGCGGCGUGCUUAACACAUGCAAGUCGAGCGAGGAAAUUCCUUCGGGGAUUUCCUAGCGGCGGACGGGUGAGUAACACGUGGGCAACCUGCCUGAUAGAGGGGGAUAGCCUCCCGAAAGGGAGAUUAAUACCGCAUGACGUCAAAUGAAGGCAUCUUCAAAUGACCAAAGGAGUAAUCCGCUAUCAGAUGGGCCCGCGGCGCAUUAGCUAGUUGGUGAGGUAACAGCUCACCAAGGCGACGAUGCGUAGCCGACCUGAGAGGGUGAUCGGCCACAUUGGGACUGAUACACGGCCCAGACUCCGACGGGAGGCAGCAGUGGGGAAUAUUGCACAAUGGGGGAAACCCUGAUGCAGCAACGCCGCGUGAGUGAUGAAGGCCUUCGGGUUGUAAAGCUCUGUCUUCAGGGACGAUAAUGACGGUACCUGAGGAGGAAGCCACGGCUAACUACGUGCCAGCCGCCGCGGUAA
This 478-nucleotide ribosomal RNA is filed under the name uncultured bacterium. RNAcentral describes it as "partial 16S ribosomal RNA". It matches the Rfam family "Bacterial small subunit ribosomal RNA", at positions 28 to 523 of the family's 1533-position model. The record is from RNAcentral.